AGAGUUUGAUCCUGGCUCAGGAUGAACGCUGGCGGCGUGCUUAACACAUGCAAGUCGAACGGGCUCAUAUUGAAACCUAGUGAUGUAUGAGUUAGUGGCGGACGGGUGAGUAACGCGUGGAGAACCUGCCGUAUACUGGGGGAUAACACUUAGAAAUAGGUGCUAAUACCGCAUAAGCGCACAGCUUCGCAUGAAGCAGUGUGAAAAACUCCGGUGGUAUACGAUGGAUCCGCGUCUGAUUAGCUGGUUGGCGGGGUAACAGCCCACCAAGGCGACGAUCAGUAGCCGGCCUGAGAGGGUGAACGGCCACAUUGGGACUGAGACACGGCCCAAACUCCUACGGGAGGCAGCAGUGGGGAAUAUUGCACAAUGGGGGAAACCCUGAUGCAGCGACGCCGCGUGAGUGAAGAAGUAUUUCGGUAUGUAAAGCUCUAUCAGCAGGGAAGAAAAUGACGGUACCUGACUAAGAAGCCCCGGCUAACUACGUGCCAGCAGCCGCGGUAAUACGUAGGGGGCAAGCGUUAUCCGGAUUUACUGGGUGUAAAGGGAGCGUAAACGGCAGCGCAAGUCUGAAGUGAAAUCCC
Molecule: ribosomal RNA, 584 nt
Filed under: uncultured bacterium
Lineage: Bacteria
Description: bacterial SSU rRNA
Rfam family: Bacterial small subunit ribosomal RNA
Source: RNAcentral